GGGUUGUGAGGUUAAGCGACUAAGCGUACACGGUGGAUGCCCUGGCAGUCAGAGGCGAUGAAGGACGUGCUAAUCUGCGAUAAGCGUCGGUAAGGUGAUAUGAACCGUUAUAACCGGCGAUUUCCGAAUGGGGAAACCCAGUGUGUUUCGACACACUAUCAUUAACUGAAUCCAUAGGUUAAUGAGGCGAACCGGGGGAACUGAAACAUCUAAGUACCCCGAGGAAAAGAAAUCAACCGAGAUUCCCCCAGUAGCGGCGAGCGAACGGGGAGCAGCCCAGAGCCUGAAUCAGUGUGUGUGUUAGUGGAAGCGUCUGGAAAGGCGCGCGAUACAGGGUGACAGCCCCGUACACAAAAAUGCACAUGCUGUGAGCUCGAUGAGUAGGGCGGGACACGUGGUAUCCUGUCUGAAUAUGGGGGGACCAUCCUCCAAGGCUAAAUACUCCUGACUGACCGAUAGUGAACCAGUACCGUGAGGGAAAGGCGAAAAGAACCCCGGCGAGGGGAGUGAAAAAGAACCUGAAACCGUGUACGUACAAGCAGUGGGAGCCUCUUUAUGGGGUGACUGCGUACCUUUUGUAUAAUGGGUCAGCGACUUAUAUUCUGUAGCAAGGUUAACCGAAUAGGGGAGCCGAAGGGAAACCGAGUCUUAACUGGGCGUUAAGUUGCAGGGUAUAGACCCGAAACCCGGUGAUCUAGCCAUGGGCAGGUUGAAGGUUGGGUAACACUAACUGGAGGACCGAACCGACUAAUGUUGAAAAAUUAGCGGAUGACUUGUGGCUGGGGGUGAAAGGCCAAUCAAACCGGGAGAUAGCUGGUUCUCCCCGAAAGCUAUUUAGGUAGCGCCUCGUGAAUUCAUCUCCGGGGGUAGAGCACUGUUUCGGCAAGGGGGUCAUCCCGACUUACCAACCCGAUGCAAACUGCGAAUACCGGAGAAUGUUAUCACGGGAGACACACGGCGGGUGCUAACGUCCGUCGUGAAGAGGGAAACAACCCAGACCGCCAGCUAAGGUCCCAAAGUCAUGGUUAAGUGGGAAACGAUGUGGGAAGGCCCAGACAGCCAGGAUGUUGGCUUAGAAGCAGCCAUCAUUUAAAGAAAGCGUAAUAGCUCACUGGUCGAGUCGGCCUGCGCGGAAGAUGUAACGGGGCUAAACCAUGCACCGAAGCUGCGGCAGCGACGCUUAUGCGUUGUUGGGUAGGGGAGCGUUCUGUAAGCCUGUGAAGGUGUGCUGUGAGGCAUGCUGGAGGUAUCAGAAGUGCGAAUGCUGACAUAAGUAACGAUAAAGCGGGUGAAAAGCCCGCUCGCCGGAAGACCAAGGGUUCCUGUCCAACGUUAAUCGGGGCAGGGUGAGUCGACCCCUAAGGCGAGGCCGAAAGGCGUAGUCGAUGGGAAACAGGUUAAUAUUCCUGUACUUGGUGUUACUGCGAAGGGGGGACGGAGAAGGCUAUGUUGGCCGGGCGACGGUUGUCCCGGUUUAAGCGUGUAGGCUGGUUUUCCAGGCAAAUCCGGAAAAUCAAGGCUGAGGCGUGAUGACGAGGCACUACGGUGCUGAAGCAACAAAUGCCCUGCUUCCAGGAAAAGCCUCUAAGCAUCAGGUAACAUCAAAUCGUACCCCAAACCGACACAGGUGGUCAGGUAGAGAAUACCAAGGCGCUUGAGAGAACUCGGGUGAAGGAACUAGGCAAAAUGGUGCCGUAACUUCGGGAGAAGGCACGCUGAUAUGUAGGUGAAGUCCCUCGCGGAUGGAGCUGAAAUCAGUCGAAGAUACCAGCUGGCUGCAACUGUUUAUUAAAAACACAGCACUGUGCAAACACGAAAGUGGACGUAUACGGUGUGACGCCUGCCCGGUGCCGGAAGGUUAAUUGAUGGGGUUAGCCGCAAGGCGAAGCUCUUGAUCGAAGCCCCGGUAAACGGCGGCCGUAACUAUAACGGUCCUAAGGUAGCGAAAUUCCUUGUCGGGUAAGUUCCGACCUGCACGAAUGGCGUAAUGAUGGCCAGGCUGUCUCCACCCGAGACUCAGUGAAAUUGAACUCGCUGUGAAGAUGCAGUGUACCCGCGGCAAGACGGAAAGACCCCGUGAACCUUUACUAUAGCUUGACACUGAACAUUGAGCCUUGAUGUGUAGGAUAGGUGGGAGGCUUUGAAGUGUGGACGCCAGUCUGCAUGGAGCCGACCUUGAAAUACCACCCUUUAAUGUUUGAUGUUCUAACGUUGACCCGUGAUCCGGGUUGCGGACAGUGUCUGGUGGGUAGUUUGACUGGGGCGGUCUCCUCCUAAAGAGUAACGGAGGAGCACGAAGGUUGGCUAAUCCUGGUCGGACAUCAGGAGGUUAGUGCAAUGGCAUAAGCCAGCUUGACUGCGAGCGUGACGGCGCGAGCAGGUGCGAAAGCAGGUCAUAGUGAUCCGGUGGUUCUGAAUGGAAGGGCCAUCGCUCAACGGAUAAAAGGUACUCCGGGGAUAACAGGCUGAUACCGCCCAAGAGUUCAUAUCGACGGCGGUGUUUGGCACCUCGAUGUCGGCUCAUCACAUCCUGGGGCUGAAGUAGGUCCCAAGGGUAUGGCUGUUCGCCAUUUAAAGUGGUACGCGAGCUGGGUUUAGAACGUCGUGAGACAGUUCGGUCCCUAUCUGCCGUGGGCGCUGGAGAACUGAGGGGGGCUGCUCCUAGUACGAGAGGACCGGAGUGGACGCAUCACUGGUGUUCGGGUUGUCAUGCCAAUGGCACUGCCCGGUAGCUAAAUGCGGAAGAGAUAAGUGCUGAAAGCAUCUAAGCACGAAACUUGCCCCGAGAUGAGUUCUCCCUGACCCUUUAAGGGUCCUGAAGGAACGUUGAAGACGACGACGUUGAUAGGCCGGGUGUGUAAGCGCAGCGAUGCGUUGAGCUAACCGGUACUAAUGAACCGUGAGGCUUAACCUUACAACGCCGAAGCUGUU
RNAcentral lists this ribosomal RNA (2931 nucleotides) under Escherichia coli. RNAcentral's name for it is "23S ribosomal RNA". It matches the Rfam family "Bacterial large subunit ribosomal RNA". The record is from RNAcentral. Lineage: Bacteria; Pseudomonadati; Pseudomonadota; Gammaproteobacteria; Enterobacterales; Enterobacteriaceae.